This 411-nucleotide ribosomal RNA is filed under the name uncultured eukaryote. RNAcentral describes it as "bacterial SSU rRNA". It matches the Rfam family "Eukaryotic small subunit ribosomal RNA", at positions 592 to 1008 of the family's 1831-position model. The record is from RNAcentral.
CAAUAGCGUAUAUUAAAGUUGUUGCGGUUAAAAGCUCGUAGUUGGAUUUCUGCUUGGGUGGCCGAUGUGCCUUCUGGGUUACAGCCGGUUCAGCCUGAGCAUCUUCUUGGGAAUCGUGUCUGCACUUGACUGUGUGGCACGGGUUCCAGGACUUUUACUUUGAGGAAAUUAGAGUGUUUCACGCAGGCGUCCGCCUUGAAUACGUUAGCAUGGAAUAAUGCGACAGGACCUCGGUCCAUUUUGUUGGUUUCUAGGAGCAGGGUAAUGAUUAAUAGGGAUAAUUGGGGGUAGUUCGAAUUAAGGCGUCAGAGGUGGAAUUCUUGGAUUGCCUUACGACGAACUACUGCGAAAGCAUUUACCAAGGUAUGUUUUCAUUGAUCAAGUAACGAAAGUCAGGGGAUCGAAGACGAU